Molecule: non-coding RNA, 106 nt
Filed under: Gallaecimonas xiamenensis 3-C-1
Lineage: Bacteria; Pseudomonadati; Pseudomonadota; Gammaproteobacteria; Enterobacterales; Gallaecimonadaceae
Also listed under: 1 other name
Description: Gallaecimonas sp. 3-C-1 TPP riboswitch aptamer (THI element)
Rfam family: TPP riboswitch aptamer (THI element)
About the family: Vitamin B(1) in its active form thiamin pyrophosphate (TPP) is an essential coenzyme that is synthesised by coupling of pyrimidine and thiazole moieties in bacteria.
Source: Rfam by way of RNAcentral
UUUUUCACCAGGGGGAGGCCUCUUAGGCCUGAGAUGUCGGUGUACCGACAGACCCUUUGAACCUGAUCCGGCUCGUACCGGCGUAGGGAUGGUGCUCUGCCAUAAC